This 165-nucleotide unclassified non-coding RNA is filed under the name uncultured fungus. RNAcentral's name for it is "sequence contains ITS1, 5.8S rRNA gene". The record is from RNAcentral. Lineage: Eukaryota; Fungi.
UAGAGUUUUCAAAACUCCCAAACCCAUGUGAACUUACCUAUGUUGCCUCGGUGGGAGCCUACCCUGUACCUACCCUGUAACGGGUUACCCGGGAGCGGCCCCACCGGUGGACUUUUUAACUCUUGUUAUUUUAUGUAAUCUGAGAGUCUUAUUUUUAAUAAAUAA